RNAcentral lists this transfer RNA (78 nucleotides) under Chloroflexota bacterium. RNAcentral describes it as "Chloroflexi bacterium tRNA-Ile". It matches the Rfam family "tRNA". Rfam says of the family: Transfer RNA (tRNA) molecules are approximately 80 nucleotides in length. The record is from RNAcentral. Lineage: Bacteria; Bacillati; Chloroflexota. RNAcentral also lists the same sequence under 2 other names.
GGGGGAGUAGCCCAGUUGGUUAGAGGCGCCGAGCUUAUACCUCGGAAGUCGGAGGUUCGAGUCCUCCCUCCCCUACCA